GAUGAACGCUGGCGGCGUGCCUAAUACAUGCAAGUCGAGCGAACAGACGAGGAGCUUGCUCCUCUGACGUUAGCGGCGGACGGGUGAGUAACACGUGGAUAACCUACCUAUAAGACUGGGAUAACUUCGGGAAACCGGAGCUAAUACCGGAUAAUAUAUUGAACCGCAUGGUUCAAUAGUGAAAGACGGUUUUGCUGUCACUUAUAGAUGGAUCCGCGCCGCAUUAGCUAGUUGGUAAGGUAACGGCUUACCAAGGCGACGAUACGUAGCCGACCUGAGAGGGUGAUCGGCCACACUGGAACUUAGACACGGUCCAGACUCCUACGGGAGGCAGCAGUAGGGAAUCUUCCGCAAUGGGCGAAAGCCUGACGGAGCAACGCCGCGUGAGUGAUGAAGGUCUUCGGAUCGUAAAACUCUGUUAUUAGGGAAGAACAAAUGUGUAAGUAACUAUGCACGUCUUGACGGUACCUAAUCAGAAAGCCACGGCUAACUACGUG
RNAcentral lists this ribosomal RNA (497 nucleotides) under uncultured bacterium. Its description in RNAcentral is "partial 16S ribosomal RNA". It matches the Rfam family "Bacterial small subunit ribosomal RNA", at positions 28 to 507 of the family's 1533-position model. The record is from RNAcentral.